AGUGAACGCUGGCGGUAGGCCUAGCACAUGCAAGUCGAACGGCAGCACAGUAAGAGCUUGCUCUUACGGGUGGCGAGUGGCGGACGGGUGAGGAAUACAUCGGAAUCUACUUUUUCGUGGGGGAUAACGUAGGGAAACUUACGCUAAUACCGCAUACGACCUACGGGUGAAAGCAGGGGAUCUUCGGACCUUGCGCGAUUGAAUGAGCCGAUGUCGGAUUAGCUAGUUGGCGGGGUAACGGCCCACCAAGGCGACGAUCCGUAGCUGGUCUGAGAGGAUGAUCAGCCACACUGGAACUGAGACACGGUCCAGACUCCUACGGGAGGCAGCAGUGGGGAAUAUUGGACAAUGGGCGCAAGCCUGAUCCAGCCAUACCGCGUGGGUGAAGAAGGCCUUCGGGUUGUAAAGCCCUUUUGUUGGGAAAGAAAAGCAGCAGGUUAAUACCCCGCUGUUCUGACGGUACCCAAAGAAUAAGCACCGGCUAACUUCGU
Molecule: ribosomal RNA, 491 nt
Filed under: uncultured bacterium
Lineage: Bacteria
Description: partial 16S ribosomal RNA
Rfam family: Bacterial small subunit ribosomal RNA
Source: RNAcentral